UUACUGAAAUGUUCUUAUACGAAGUAGCUAUUGUAGUAGUUCCCUCCAGACCUCAUGUUGAGUGUGCGUGUGUGCACAGAAACCGAUGCUUAGCUUGCCCAGACAUCUCAGAACUGGGCAAAUGUGUGCAAACAGCUUGAAAAGGGACCACUCGGGGCUUUCAUGCUCUUCGCUGGUAUACACUUUUCAUGAUUCUUCAAUGUGAACACUAGGUUGCAACUCUCCCACUCCGCUUGCAUUUGCCUGCUGUCUCCCUCUCUUUCUCUAGCUCACUCUUAGAAUGGAGUCUUACUUGGAGGAGUAGAAAAAUAUAGCUCAGAGCUGAACUCAUUUUGUCAUAUGUUCCAUUAUGCUGGGAGCCAGAGAGCUGUCGUCAAGCCAGACUUGUGUUCUGUUGGGCUGCAGAAUAUGUCAGAAAGAGUCAGAGGCACGAGAUGUUCUUCAUACAGCUGAGCCCCACGAUGCUUUUACUGUGUGUUGUUGAGAGACAGAGCUUUAAGGGUUCAUUUAACUGCAGUAGACAGGGAGAAGGGGAUGAUUGUGAAAACGGAGACUAAGGCAGCCUCCCUUCCGAAGCUCGCUGGAGUCUCCCUCAGAUGCUACCGGUGAGUAACUCACGCUCAGAAUGAAAUGUGCCGUGGACAGUACGGCAGGCUGAUUCUGUCUACACACAUACAGCCAGCAUAUUUCUGGUGCUGAAGGGUGUCCAACCCCUGCUACUUACUGUCCUUAUAUGCAUUCUUUUCUGCCUGAUGUCAGGCUCUGUGGUAGGGUGACACUGUGAUAUAAUCAAUACAUAUUGGCCCUUGCUCCCACAUGCUGGCCCAGCAUGGAUCUCUUGAAACCCUUAGAGUUUCUCGAGAAGCUGGAACAAAGGAGCAUCUUCAGUUACUCACCAGCCCCUCAAUCACACCUGAACUUAUGCUGACCUGCUCACUCCUGGUGGGCCAUGAGUAAGUUUCAAGAUGGCCCAACCGAGAUUAGAGGGUGAGAACUUUCCACUCACAGGGAUGGGAGAGAAGGGCGAGUCUGAGUUCAGACAUUAAUGACUAAUGACUAGUCAACCAUGCUGCACAGUGUGGCCCUCCACUAAAAAUCACUAAAAGAUAGGUUGUGGAGAGCACAGCCCAGGGUGUUGAACACACUUUGCUCCUGGGUGGAGGAUACAUGUGAGGGCAAGUGAGUCUUACAGUCCUCCCUCAGAGCUUGCCAAGGGCCUCUUUUCCAGUUGACAGUACUGAGUUAUGGCCUUUAUACUAAUCUAAUGGUGCUACAGGAGCUCAAAGCAAAAAAUUCAACUCUCAAAACAAGGCAAUAAGCUGGUUCCUGUCAUCUAUCCCCAUGUGUCAGAGUCAAACAUUGCUAUGGGGCAGAGAAAGCCUUAAUCAAUGAGGCCCCACAGGAAAGAACAGAUAAAAAAUGUUCAGUGACCUCCUGCUCUAUCUUUGAAAGGCAGAUAAGAACGUUGAC
Molecule: small RNA, 1470 nt
Filed under: Rattus norvegicus (Norway rat)
Lineage: Eukaryota; Metazoa; Chordata; Mammalia; Rodentia; Muridae
Description: uncharacterized LOC108351935
Source: RNAcentral